Molecule: ribosomal RNA, 25 nt
Filed under: Synechococcus elongatus PCC 6301
Lineage: Bacteria; Bacillati; Cyanobacteriota; Cyanophyceae; Synechococcales; Synechococcaceae
Description: partial ribosomal RNA
Source: RNAcentral
AAGGUGUGGCUGGAUCACCUCCUUU